GAUGAACGCUGGCGGCGUGCCUAAUACAUGCAAGUCGAGCGAACGGACGAGAAGCUUGCUUCUCUGAUGUUAGCGGCGGACGGGUGAGUAACACGUGGAUAACCUACCUAUCAGACUGGGAUAACUUCGGGAAACCGGCGCUAAUCCCGGAUGAUCUUUUGAACCGCAUGGUUCAUAAGUGAAAGACGGUCUUGCUGUCACUUAUAGAUGGAUCCGCGCUGCAUUAGCUAGUUGGUAAGGUAACGGCUUACCAAGGCAACGAUGCAUAGCCGACCUGAGAGGGUGAUCGGCCACACGGGAACGUAGACACGGUCCAUACUCCUACGGGAGGCAGCAGUAGGGAAUCGUCCGCAAUGGGCGAAAACCUGACGGAGCAACGCGGCGCGAGUUAUGAAGGUCUCCGGAUCGGAAAACUCUGUUAUUAGUGAAGAACAUAUGUGUAAGUAACUGUGCACAUCGUGACGGUACCUAAUCAGAAAGCCACGGCUAACUACGUG
RNAcentral lists this ribosomal RNA (497 nucleotides) under uncultured bacterium. RNAcentral's name for it is "partial 16S ribosomal RNA". It matches the Rfam family "Bacterial small subunit ribosomal RNA", at positions 28 to 507 of the family's 1533-position model. The record is from RNAcentral.